This 326-nucleotide long non-coding RNA is filed under the name Dromaius novaehollandiae (emu). RNAcentral's name for it is "lncRNA (ENSDNVG00000015444.1)". Lineage: Eukaryota; Metazoa; Chordata; Aves; Casuariiformes; Dromaiidae. The record is from RNAcentral.
CUGCCAGCCCGGCGCCCGGCUGCUGCAGCCUCGGCACGAAGGUGCCCCCCGCUCUAGCGUCCCCAGCCCUGGGGGCCACCCGGUUUGUACUAUGCUGGAAAGAAUAUUUUGAGGAUGGGGAAAAGCAGCUAAGGAAACAGACUAAAUUAUUACAAGAGGGAAGAAUGAAUGGAAUCUGCAUUCAGAAAUACUCUGGAAGGCACUGGAAAGGAGUUCACGCCUGAUUAUACAUGUAUUAUUGUAAGUACAUGCACUUAAACAGAAUUUAAACUUAAAAGAACAAGCAGUCACAUUUUUGCUGUGAUCUUUAACUUGAUUUAUUAAUU